AGAUCUGCAUCUCAUCAGUAACAGAGCGUUCUUCGGUGGAACGCAAAUACUCAUCCUCGAUUUUACUUCUUCUUCAACAUUGUUUCCUCCAAACACGUCCUCUUCCUUCAGAUUGAAAUUCAAAUCUAUUUCUUCAAAUCCGUGGUGCCUUAUGUAGCUCCGCCGUCUCACUUCCAGGUCACUGUACUCUUCUUCUUCUUCCUCGCCGUCAUUUUCAUGUUUAUCUUCACCAUUCCGAACAACCAAAUCAAUCUCCCUACCUUUCACAUCUCUCUCUUGCACAGCCACCAGCCACCGAGCAAACACGGCACCACAGGACCCGCCGCCAUUAUUACCGGAUUCGCCAGCAUCCACCGCCGUAGCAGCCGACUUCG
Molecule: long non-coding RNA, 374 nt
Filed under: Linum usitatissimum (flax)
Lineage: Eukaryota; Viridiplantae; Streptophyta; Magnoliopsida; Malpighiales; Linaceae
Description: long non-coding RNA (LUSI_LNC001331)
Source: RNAcentral